This 996-nucleotide long non-coding RNA is filed under the name Elaeis guineensis (African oil palm). Its description in RNAcentral is "long non-coding RNA (EGUI_LNC045296)". Lineage: Eukaryota; Viridiplantae; Streptophyta; Magnoliopsida; Arecales; Arecaceae. The record is from RNAcentral.
AGGUAUAGGCCUAGGUGUGGUGCUCUCAAGCCUCUGAUGGCCAACAGAAAAGCCAAGGUUUGAAGCCCAUGAAGCAUUCAUGGGGAUUCUAGGAUCAGUUUUGGAUCCUAGGGUGGAGGCGGGUUGCCUUCCAAUUCUUAAGGCUUAGGAGAUAUGGACUUUGAGGAGCUAAUUUACUUUCGGACUAGGUUUGGGCCCAUGAAAGGUAAGAGCAUGCAAGACAUGGGUGUACAUAGGCUUGGGUGAGUGCAAUUGCAUGUGGAUUAGCCAUGAGAGUUGUUUGGGUUUGGUCUUGGAUUAGACCAAUUUGUACUUAUACAUAUAUGAGGUUGUAAUCUGAUUUGAUUAAUGAAGGAUAGCUAUUUUUCUCCCAAAUUUCUCUCUCUUCAUCUCCUCUCUCUCUCCUUGCAUGCAGCCCAAGAGCAGCAUCAAACCCUAGCCGCCCCUCUUGUUCCACUUGCCAAGUUUGGCAAGGAGAAAACCAUAGUGCCCAGGGUUUCUUGGCACCCCUUGCUUCCUAGCACCUCCAUCCUUGUGCCACCCUCUCUUUUGUGGUGAUUUCUUACUAAUUCAAGGUCUCUACACUCUUAAGAAGGUGCUCUAACAAUUGGUAUCAGAGCCAAGGUCUGCAUGGAAAAGAGGAAGAAGCCAAAAGUAAGAAGAUCUUCAAGGCUAAAAUUUCUGCAGCACAUCUCUUCUAAGGUAUCUUCCCAAAUUCAUCUUGUGGAUUGUUGUGAUUUGGUUAGGAUCUAGCCAUGGGAAGCAACAUCAAGGUAGAUUUCGAGAAGUUUGAUGGGAAGAAAAGUUUCUUCAUGUGGAAAGUCAGGGUGGAAGAUAUAUUGGUCCAACAUGAGUUAGAUCUAGCAUUGGAGGAAAGGCCUGAUGAGAUGACGGAUAGGCAGUGGAUGUCCUUAAAGAAAAGGGUAUGUUCAGCGAUUAGAGAGUGUUAGGUGGACUCGGCACUGUAUUGUUAGGUUUAGAUAAUUUUCAGCACGC